Molecule: ribosomal RNA, 334 nt
Filed under: uncultured cyanobacterium
Lineage: Bacteria; Bacillati; Cyanobacteriota
Description: bacterial SSU rRNA
Rfam family: Bacterial small subunit ribosomal RNA
Source: RNAcentral
CUUGGGUUGUAAACCCCUUUUCUCAGGGAAGAAAAAAUGACGGUACCUGAGGAAUAAGCAUCGGCUAACUCCGUGCCAGCAGCCGCGGUAAUACGGAGGAUGCAAGCGUUAUCCGGAAUGAUUGGGCGUAAAGCGUCUGUAGGUGGUUUGGCAAGUCUGCCGUUAAAGGUCGGGGCUCAACUCCGAAAAGGCGGUGGAAACUGCCAGACUAGAGUGUGGUAGGGGUAGAGGGAAUUCCCGGUGUAGCGGUGAAAUGCGUAGAUAUCGGGAAGAACACCGGUGGCGAAGGCGCUCUACUGGGCCACAACUGACACUGAGGGACGAAAGCUAGGGG